RNAcentral lists this ribosomal RNA (396 nucleotides) under Chlorellaceae sp. RNAcentral's name for it is "SSU rRNA". It matches the Rfam family "Eukaryotic small subunit ribosomal RNA", at positions 627 to 1026 of the family's 1831-position model. Lineage: Eukaryota; Viridiplantae; Chlorophyta; Trebouxiophyceae; Chlorellales; Chlorellaceae. The record is from RNAcentral.
CUCGUAGUUGGANUUCGGGUGGGGCCUGCCGGUCCGCCGUUUCGGUGUGCACUGGCAGGGCCCACCUUGUUGCCGGGGACGGGCUCCUGGGCUUCACUGUCCGGGACUCGGAGUCGGCGCUGUUACUUUGAGUAAAUUAGAGUGUUCAAAGCAGGCCUACGCUCUGAAUACAUUAGCAUGGAAUAACACGAUAGGACUCUGGCCUAUCCUGUUGGUCUGUAGGACCGGAGUAAUGAUUAAGAGGGACAGUCGGGGGCAUUCGUAUUUCAUUGUCAGAGGUGAAAUUCUUGGAUUUAUGAAAGACGAACUACUGCGAAAGCAUUUGCCAAGGAUGUUUUCAUUAAUCAAGAACGAAAGUUGGGGGCUCGAAGACGAUUAGAUANNNUUCGGUAGUCA